UACGUAGGGGGCAAGCGUUGUCCGGAUUUAUUGGGCGUAAAGAGCGUGUAGGCGGCCCGGUCAGUCGGUUGUGAAAGUCAGGGGCUCAACCCUUGAAUGCCGACCGAUACUGCCGGGCUAGAGUCCGGAAGAGGCGAGUGGAAUUCCUGGUGUAGCGGUGAAAUGCGCAGAUAUCAGGAGGAACACCAAUGGCGAAGGCAGCUCGCUGGGACGGUACUGACGCUGAGACGCGAAAGCGUGGGGAGCAAACAGG
RNAcentral lists this ribosomal RNA (253 nucleotides) under uncultured bacterium. RNAcentral describes it as "partial 16S ribosomal RNA". It matches the Rfam family "Bacterial small subunit ribosomal RNA", at positions 524 to 776 of the family's 1533-position model. The record is from RNAcentral.